UACGUAGGGGGCAAGCGUUGUCCGGAUUCAUUGGGCGUAAAGAGCGUGUAGGCGGCCAGGUAGGUCGGUUGUGAAAACUGGAGGCUCAACCUUCAGAGGUCGACCGAAACCAUCUGGCUAGAGUCCGGGAGAGGAGAGUGGAAUUCCUGGUGUAGCGGUGAAAUGCGCAGAUAUCAGGAAGAACACCCGUGGCGAAAGCGGAUCUCUGGAACGGUACUGACGCUGAGAUGCGAAAGCGUGGGGAGCGAACAGG
Molecule: ribosomal RNA, 253 nt
Filed under: uncultured bacterium
Lineage: Bacteria
Description: partial 16S ribosomal RNA
Rfam family: Bacterial small subunit ribosomal RNA
Source: RNAcentral